ACAAAAGAUCAGUCAUGUUGAGUCUUCCAUGGUUGAACUUGAAGGGACAGAAAUCACUGAGGUAACUAGUCUGGUGGUUGACGACGAAGAGCUGGAAAAUAAGGAGGAAGAAGAAGAAGAAGUCCUUGAAGAACGAACUGAGACCACUCCCGAUCCUCAUACCAAUACCGAAGAAGAAACUGAUCUUGGAGGGAAAAAUGGUAAUCAUAUGGUCGAUCCUGAGUGUACGCCAUCUCCUCGUCGAGAAACUAAAAAUAUUGGUCUGUAGUAGUCGGGUGGUGGUUCGAUUCCCGAGACGAUGGAUGUACCGAUGUCGAACCCAGAGUUUUCCUUUCGGUAAAAUUUAUUCUGCUGGCAGUCAACCUGAUUUGUACGAUGUUAUGGGUUAGCUUCGGAUUUCACACUGUUGUCUCCUAAUGAUAACUGGGAGGUGGAAGCCGAAGACGAUGGUGAGAAGUUGAUCGAAGAGGAAGAUAAAUCUGGCGGUGAGGAUGCUGAGCUUCGGGAUGCUAAGGAAACGAAGGACAAGGAAACUGCUGUUGGUGCAUACGAUGACGGUGAUAGGACUUUUGAUUGGUUGAAGAAGAAAUAUCUUAUGAACGUUCCCUAUGCUUCUCUUGUUGUGCAAGGUGAGAGAGACUCUGAUGCAUUUACUCGUCGUCACAUGGAUUUUUCAUCUCGUGAAAAGGUGAACAAAGUGGCAGCGUGGUAUUGGUGCUUCUCUCCUGUCGAACUUGUUGGCUACUCCUCUUGCGUCUAUUGCUGAGAUGAUGGCCAUUGUCGAUGGUCAUCAAUAUGGCUUUCCUCAACAACGCAUUCUUGAGUUGGUGAACAACGAAUAUUUCAAACGUACUCUCUAUCAAUUUUUAAGAGCUAAGGCGCUCAAGUUGGAGGCGAAGCUGCGUCAGAGGGACGGUGAACUCCAGUCUUUUCAAGAAUUGAUUGAAGCGAAGGAUAACAAGAUACUAGAGUUGAGAGAGCAGUUGAAUGGGAAACAACAGGUCAGCGCCGUGAGGAAGGGCUUUGUCAGGAGGUGGCUUAUCUUCGUCAAGAUCUAGAUAAGGCUCGUGUCGAAGCUUUAUCGGCGAUACUUCGUCCAAAGGUUUGUCCUUUUUCUUUCCUUCUGUCUUUGUCUGUUUAGUGUUCUUUUUGAGUUAGCCUUCCCUGUCUUUAGCUGGUGGUGCCGAAGAGUUAGUAUGGCUUUGGAAUGAAAGGACUCGACAUGAUUCUCUUAUUAAGGAGUUGGUGUCAAAAGUAAUAUAAAUAUCCGACAUAUGGAUUCUCGUGCUAAUCAACAUAAUCAGUUAAUAGCAGGCUAUCGAAAACAGCGAGAACAGAUGAUUGAAAUGCAAAACUCUGUUUCCGCCGCUCGCUGCCAGUUCAAAGGUACUUUGCAAUGGUCCUGUCAGUCCCUUUAUGAGGCUCGUGAUGCAGUUUCUCGGCUUGAGGCCAAAGUGGUGGAUUUACAAGUAGAGCUCCGUGAAGCCCGCUCAUCUCAUGAUCCUGAGGUUCGGGAUUAUAUACAUCGGCUUGUUCGUGAACGGGAUGAUGCAAGGGCCGAGGCACAUGCUCUUAGUCAGGCCUUAGCUGCUUCUCGUGCUGAUGUUGCAUGUUUGGUUGAAUCAGAGAAAGGAUCUCGAUAUUAAUAGGCUCACAAAGGGGAUCGAGGGGAUCACCAAUGAAGUCAAUCACCUUCGUCAUUUGGAUUCAAUGAAGCAGAGCUCGAGGGACAGUUUCGCCUUGCAAAUGAAAAUUUUGAAAAGGCUCAAUUUGAGUUAGUCAAGCAACAAGCGCGAACCAGCUAUUUCGAUGGGUUGCCGGGACUCUAGAUGUGACUGUGAAGGAAUCUGCAAAAGAAGUGGAACGCUUGAAGUCGUUGUUGACGAAAUAUGAGCUCAAGGUUGCUGCUAUCACAGUUGAGGCUCGUCUUCAGUUAUCCUUGGAAGUUAACAAAACCUUGGCUCAGAUAGAGCAAGUUCUCUUGAAGGAUGGCAUCGUCAAGAAAUACAAGCGUCAUCCCGUUCCGAACCCUUUGUUACCACAUCGGACCCGUCGUCCUGGGGAAGCGUCCCUUCGUCUCAAAAGGAGCGGCCUAAUGAUCGUCCUGAGACAGGACCUUCCAUGAAGGAGUAAGGACCUCCAUGUCUUCGUUGUGGAGUAGAGAUUUGAUGGCUGGUGAUUACGCAACUUUGGGUCAUUUUUUGUGUAUUUUUGUAU
This is a long non-coding RNA of Papaver somniferum (opium poppy), 2217 nucleotides long. RefSeq lists it as uncharacterized. The transcript is spliced from 3 exons. NCBI's taxonomy places the organism in Eukaryota, Viridiplantae, Streptophyta, Magnoliopsida, Ranunculales, Papaveraceae. The record is from RefSeq and is a predicted model, not a curated record.